Molecule: ribosomal RNA, 346 nt
Filed under: uncultured bacterium
Lineage: Bacteria
Description: partial 16S ribosomal RNA
Rfam family: Bacterial small subunit ribosomal RNA
Source: RNAcentral
CCUACGUGAGGCAGCAGUGAGGAAUAGUGGUCAAUGGACGAGAGUCUGAACCAGCCAAGUAGCGUGAAGGAUGACUGCCCUAUGGGUUGUAAACUUCUUGUAUAUGGGAAUAAAAUGUGCCACGUGUGGGAUUUUGUAUGUACCAUAUGAAUAAGGAUCGGCUAACUCCGUGCCAGCAGCCGCGGUAAUACGGAGGAUCCGAGCGUUAUCCGGAUUUAUUGGGUUUACAGGGAGCGUAGGUGGCUUGUUAAGUCAGUUGUGAAAGUUUGCGGCUCAACCGUAAAAUUGCAGUUGAAACUGGCAGUCUUGCGUACAGUAGAGGUGGGCGGCCUUCGUGGUGUAGCGG